ACGGGAGGCAGCAGUGGGGAAUAUUGGGCAAUGGGCGAAAGCCUGACCCAGCAACGCCGCGUGAGGGAAGAAGGUUUUCGGAUUGUAAACCUCUGUCCUAAGGGAAGAAGGAAGUGACGGUACCUUAGGAGGAAGCCCCGGCUAACUACGUGGCAGCAGCCGCGGUAAUACGUAGGGGGCGAGCGUUGUCCGGAAUGACUGGGCGUAAAGGGCGUGUAGGCGGCCUGUUAAGUCUGGAGUGAAAGUCCUGUUUUUAAGAUGGGAAUUGCUUUGGAUACUGAUAGGCUUGAGUGCAGGAGAGGUUAUCGGAAUUCCCGGUGUAGCGGUGAAAUGCGUAGAGAUCGGGAGGAACACCAGUGGCGAAGGCGGGUAACUGGACUGCAACUGACGCUGAGGCGCGAAAGUGUGGGGAGCAAACAGGAUUAGAUACCCUGGUA
Molecule: ribosomal RNA, 437 nt
Filed under: uncultured bacterium
Lineage: Bacteria
Description: partial 16S ribosomal RNA
Rfam family: Bacterial small subunit ribosomal RNA
Source: RNAcentral